RNAcentral lists this unclassified non-coding RNA (325 nucleotides) under soil metagenome. RNAcentral describes it as "partial contains 5.8S ribosomal RNA, internal transcribed spacer 2, and large subunit ribosomal RNA". The stretch from base 1 to 120 matches the Rfam family "5.8S ribosomal RNA", at positions 35 to 154 of the family's 154-position model. The record is from RNAcentral.
GAUGAAGAACGUAGCGAAAUGCGAUAAGUAAUGUGAAUUGCAGAAUUCAGUGAAUCAUCGAAUCUUUGAACGCACAUUGCGCCCCUUGGUAUUCCGGGGGGCAUGCCUGUUCGAGCGUCAUUAUAACCCCUCAAGCUCAGCUUGGUGUUGGGGCCUGCCGACUGGCAGCCCUUAAAAUCAGUGGCGGCGCCAUCUGGCUCUAAGCGUAGUAAUUUCUCUCGCUAUAGAGUCCCGGUGGAUGCUUGCCAGCAACCCCCAACUUUCUAUGGUUGACCUCGGAUCAGGUAGGGAUACCCGCUGAACUUAAGCAUAUCAAUAAGGAGGA